UUAAGCGACUAAGCGUACACGGUGGAUGCCCUGGCAGUCAGAGGCGAUGAAGGACGUGCUAAUCUGCGAUAAGCGUCGGUAAGGUGAUAUGAACCGUUAUAACCGGCGAUUUCCGAAUGGGGAAACCCAGUGUGAUUCGUCACACUAUCAUUAACUGAAUCCAUAGGUUAAUGAGGCGAACCGGGGGAACUGAAACAUCUAAGUACCCCGAGGAAAAGAAAUCAACCGAGAUUCCCCCAGUAGCGGCGAGCGAACGGGGAGCAGCCCAGAGCCUGAAUCAGUGUGUGUGUUAGUGGAAGCGUCUGGAAAGGCGCGCGAUACAGGGUGACAGCCCCGUACACAAAAAUGCACAUACUGUGAGCUCGAUGAGUAGGGCGGGACACGUGGUAUCCUGUCUGAAUAUGGGGGGACCAUCCUCCAAGGCUAAAUACUCCUGACUGACCGAUAGUGAACCAGUACCGUGAGGGAAAGGCGAAAAGAACCCCGGCGAGGGGAGUGAAAAAGAACCUGAAACCGUGUACGUACAAGCAGUGGGAGCACGCUUAGGCGUGUGACUGCGUACCUUUUGUAUAAUGGGUCAGCGACUUAUAUUCUGUAGCAAGGUUAACCGAAUAGGGGAGCCGAAGGGAAACCGAGUCUUAACUGGGCGUUAAGUUGCAGGGUAUAGACCCGAAACCCGGUGAUCUAGCCAUGGGCAGGUUGAAGGUUGGGUAACACUAACUGGAGGACCGAACCGACUAAUGUUGAAAAAUUAGCGGAUGACUUGUGGCUGGGGGUGAAAGGCCAAUCAAACCGGGAGAUAGCUGGUUCUCCCCGAAAGCUAUUUAGGUAGCGCCUCGUGAAUUCAUCUCCGGGGGUAGAGCACUGUUUCGGCAAGGGGGUCAUCCCGACUUACCAACCCGAUGCAAACUGCGAAUACCGGAGAAUGUUAUCACGGGAGACACACGGCGGGUGCUAACGUCCGUCGUGAAGAGGGAAACAACCCAGACCGCCAGCUAAGGUCCCAAAGUCAUGGUUAAGUGGGAAACGAUGUGGGAAGGCCCAGACAGCCAGGAUGUUGGCUUAGAAGCAGCCAUCAUUUAAAGAAAGCGUAAUAGCUCACUGGUCGAGUCGGCCUGCGCGGAAGAUGUAACGGGGCUAAACCAUGCACCGAAGCUGCGGCAGCGACGCUGAUGCGUUGUUGGGUAGGGGAGCGUUCUGUAAGCCUGCGAAGGUGUGCUGUGAGGCAUGCUGGAGGUAUCAGAAGUGCGAAUGCUGACAUAAGUAACGAUAAAGCGGGUGAAAAGCCCGCUCGCCGGAAGACCAAGGGUUCCUGUCCAACGUUAAUCGGGGCAGGGUGAGUCGACCCCUAAGGCGAGGCCGAAAGGCGUAGUCGAUGGGAAACAGGUUAAUAUUCCUGUACUUGGUGUUACUGCGAAGGGGGGACGGAGAAGGCUAUGUUGGCCGGGCGACGGUUGUCCCGGUUUAAGCGUGUAGGCUGGUUUUCCAGGCAAAUCCGGAAAAUCAAGGCUGAGGCGUGAUGACGAGGCACUACGGUGCUGAAGCAACAAAUGCCCUGCUUCCAGGAAAAGCCUCUAAGCAUCAGGUAACAUCAAAUCGUACCCCAAACCGACACAGGUGGUCAGGUAGAGAAUACCAAGGCGCUUGAGAGAACUCGGGUGAAGGAACUAGGCAAAAUGGUGCCGUAACUUCGGGAGAAGGCACGCUGAUAUGUAGGUGAGGUCCCUCGCGGAUGGAGCUGAAAUCAGUCGAAGAUACCAGCUGGCUGCAACUGUUUAUUAAAAACACAGCACUGUGCAAACACGAAAGUGGACGUAUACGGUGUGACGCCUGCCCGGUGCCGGAAGGUUAAUUGAUGGGGUCAGCGCAAGCGAAGCUCUUGAUCGAAGCCCCGGUAAACGGCGGCCGUAACUAUAACGGUCCUAAGGUAGCGAAAUUCCUUGUCGGGUAAGUUCCGACCUGCACGAAUGGCGUAAUGAUGGCCAGGCUGUCUCCACCCGAGACUCAGUGAAAUUGAACUCGCUGUGAAGAUGCAGUGUACCCGCGGCAAGACGGAAAGACCCCGUGAACCUUUACUAUAGCUUGACACUGAACAUUGAGCCUUGAUGUGUAGGAUAGGUGGGAGGCUUGGAAGUGUGGACGCCAGUCUGCAUGGAGCCGACCUUGAAAUACCACCCUUUAAUGUUUGAUGUUCUAACGUUGACCCGUAAUCCGGGUUGCGGACAGUGUCUGGUGGGUAGUUUGACUGGGGCGGUCUCCUCCUAAAGAGUAACGGAGGAGCACGAAGGUUGGCUAAUCCUGGUCGGACAUCAGGAGGUUAGUGCAAUGGCAUAAGCCAGCUUGACUGCGAGCGUGACGGCGCGAGCAGGUGCGAAAGCAGGUCAUAGUGAUCCGGUGGUUCUGAAUGGAAGGGCCAUCGCUCAACGGAUAAAAGGUACUCCGGGGAUAACAGGCUGAUACCGCCCAAGAGUUCAUAUCGACGGCGGUGUUUGGCACCUCGAUGUCGGCUCAUCACAUCCUGGGGCUGAAGUAGGUCCCAAGGGUAUGGCUGUUCGCCAUUUAAAGUGGUACGCGAGCUGGGUUUAGAACGUCGUGAGACAGUUCGGUCCCUAUCUGCCGUGGGCGCUGGAGAACUGAGGGGGGCUGCUCCUAGUACGAGAGGACCGGAGUGGACGCAUCACUGGUGUUCGGGUUGUCAUGCCAAUGGCACUGCCCGGUAGCUAAAUGCGGAAGAGAUAAGUGCUGAAAGCAUCUAAGCACGAAACUUGCCCCGAGAUGAGUUCUCCCUGACUCCUUGAGAGUCCUGAAGGAACGUUGAAGACGACGACGUUGAUAGGCCGGGUGUGUAAGCGCAGCGAUGCGUUGAGCUAACCGGUACUAAUGAACCGUGAGGCUUAACCUU
RNAcentral lists this ribosomal RNA (2902 nucleotides) under Escherichia coli. RNAcentral's name for it is "bacterial LSU rRNA". It matches the Rfam family "Bacterial large subunit ribosomal RNA". The record is from RNAcentral. Lineage: Bacteria; Pseudomonadati; Pseudomonadota; Gammaproteobacteria; Enterobacterales; Enterobacteriaceae.